CUAAAGAUGGCGACCGGCGCACGGGUGAGUAACACGUAUCCAACCUGCCGAUAACUCGGGGAUAGCCUUUCGAAAGAAAGAUUAAUACCCGAUGGCAUAAUUAGACCGCAUGGUCUUAUUAUUAAAGAAUUUCGGUUAUCGAUGGGGAUGCGUUCCAUUAGGCAGUUGGUGAGGUAACGGCUCACCAAACCUUCGAUGGAUAGGGGUUCUGAGAGGAAGGUCCCCCACAUUGGAACUGAGACACGGCCCAA
This 251-nucleotide ribosomal RNA is filed under the name uncultured bacterium. RNAcentral's name for it is "partial 16S ribosomal RNA". It matches the Rfam family "Bacterial small subunit ribosomal RNA", at positions 78 to 334 of the family's 1533-position model. The record is from RNAcentral.